Molecule: non-coding RNA, 329 nt
Organism: Paramuricea clavata
Lineage: Eukaryota; Metazoa; Cnidaria; Anthozoa; Malacalcyonacea; Plexauridae
Source: the annotation of a GenBank genome assembly
CCAGUAAAUAAAUGACACUUGACAAAUUGUUUAUUAUGAAACAAAGUAUUAUUAUAUGUACAAAAUACAAGCAAGAUUUAUUCGUCCGAAAUUCGCGUGUGUUCCUAGCACGAAUACGUUUCCUUAUUUCAUGAGACCACUGCAUCGCGAAGAAUCGUCAUCGAUCGUUGGUAGUUCUGAAUUAGGGCAUGCUGUCACAAUGGAAUUGUGAAGCUCUUCUAACUUCUGCAACGUUCUGAAAUCUUGUUAAGAACACCCAAACUCUUUUGCCUUUUCUUAAUCUUGGCAAGUUCAGAGAAAACUGAGAAUUAUAUGAAACACAAUCAAAC